GUGCGUGGCACCGGGUCAUUACUUGUGCAUAUCUUCCGAACAAAUCAA
This 48-nucleotide small RNA is filed under the name Caenorhabditis elegans. RNAcentral describes it as "Unclassified non-coding RNA C14F5.9". Lineage: Eukaryota; Metazoa; Nematoda; Chromadorea; Rhabditida; Rhabditidae. The record is from RNAcentral.